UCCUAGAUCUCCCUAAAGCUGAUUGGCAUGACAGCUGCUUGUCUCUCCUGCAAAUGAGAAUAUUGCCUGUUCAUAUCCCUUGGGAAAGGUGUGGGAUAGAAAGGCCUGAUGGGAUCUGAGCUGAGCCCAGGAAUAAGUAUGAGAAGGGUGGAGAAUGAUUUGUUGCUGAGCAGCUAAGCAAUUUGAAGAUGGUGGUGGAUGAAGCCUGAAGUGAAAAGGAUUAGAAGAUGAGUGCACAGUAAAAGGCACAGACUGGCUAAAGCCUUGGGAAAAGAGCAACCCAGAAAGAGCUUUUUGGCAGGGGGUGAAUGCUUGAAAGUAAUUUCUUUCAAGAGAACAGAGAUACCUUGCUUGUGUGUGGGGACAGGAACCUUGGUACUGCAGACACCCCCACCCACUGAAGGGCUUGUUCCUGGAGAAGGCUGCCCAUGUUGGUGGACAGGCAUUGCAGCCUCUCUCUCCUGUUUCAGCAGCUUUGGUGCUGGGCACAGCUUGCUGGGGGACUGCACUUGUGCUGGGAGGGAGGCUGGGGCACCUCUGCUUUAAGCACCAUGUCAAGGUCUGUGUCCAGAAGCAGCUGCUUGCUGGGGAGCAGGAAGACACCCAGGGAGGGGAGAUGGAGUGGCAUGGAGGAUCUGAAUCCCAGAGGCAGGCAUGAGUUUUGUAUGCUGGGGUGCAGCAGAGCAGCAGGCUCAGGAUAGGGGGAACACAGGAAUUGCGGAGGUGAGAAGAGUUGAAGAAGUGAGGCUGAGGUCUUGUUUCAUGAAUUAGAAGGGCGUGGGGAUGCACUGAGCCACUGAUUUCUCAGAAACACAUUUUCCAAAACCAAAUUUACAGGAAUGACUAUGAAUAACAGUUGUUUAGCUAAAGGAUGAUGCCUUCUGCUUUUGGUACAAGGGCUAAGACAUGUUUUUGUGAUUUUCCCAUUUUACUCCUCCUCUGGCAACCUAUGACUUAUUACUGUAUGUGUUUAUUUCUAAGACAAGUCUGUGGGAUUCCCCUGUUUUGACAUAAGUAGUAAACCAACUCCUCCUGCUGUCUCAACACUACUUCCCUGAGGACUUGAUUAUGUUUGGCUAGUGAUGUUGCUGACCGCUGCCCAUACUGGAAAAGUAUUCAACUGGAAGAGUCUAAUGCCCCAAGUGUUGAUUGCCACCAUGACAACUGCCAGGCCAAUCAGAUUUACACCCAGGCCAGCUUUCACCUACAAAAGCAUCAGAACAUGAUCAAUGACAACUUGAUCAAAACUAGUUAACAUAGAAGAAAGAAGGCAGUAGGGUGUAUAUAUGUAUGUAUAUUGAUUUAUGUACAGUGUGAUUUUUACAGUCAAAAAAAGCACAGUGAGUGUUAUGUAUCAGAGUGUAUGUUGUGGGAGUAUUCAGGAGUUAGUCAGAAGUUGAUGCAGCUCAUUGGAAAACUGCUCAGUUUGUCACUUGAACUCAAUCAGAUAAUCAGAAUGGGGAGUUAUACUACACAUAGCAGGGUGAUAACUACGUGACUUACUGUGGAACUAUGUGAUAAAUCUAAUUUCUGAUGCUCUCCGGUGCUUGUCUUAACAGGUCAAUCCAAAGGACUGUUUACUCCUGUUCUCUGGUACCUCUUUAGACCAUUACAUUCAUAAAAAAUAAAGAUGAGAAAUGUGCAUAUCCUACA
This is a long non-coding RNA of Athene cunicularia (burrowing owl), 1653 nucleotides long. RefSeq lists it as uncharacterized. The record is from RefSeq and is a predicted model, not a curated record. The transcript is spliced from 2 exons. Lineage: Eukaryota; Metazoa; Chordata; Aves; Strigiformes; Strigidae.